RNAcentral lists this signal recognition particle RNA (262 nucleotides) under Candidatus Cloacimonadota bacterium. Its description in RNAcentral is "signal recognition particle sRNA large type". It matches the Rfam family "Bacterial large signal recognition particle RNA". Rfam says of the family: The signal recognition particle (SRP) is a universally conserved ribonucleoprotein involved in the co-translational targeting of proteins to membranes. Archaeal SRP consists of a 7S RNA and homologues of the eukaryotic SRP19 and SRP54 proteins. In most bacteria, the SRP consists of a 4.5S RNA and the Ffh protein (a homologue of the eukaryotic SRP54 protein). Lineage: Bacteria; Pseudomonadati; Candidatus Cloacimonadota. The record is from RNAcentral.
GUGUGCUAGGUGGGGAAUUAGCGGUGCCCUGUUACCCGCAAUCCGCUAUAGCGGGGCUGAAUUCCUGCAUGAGAAUAUUCAUGUUCUCAGAAAAGCAGAUAAGUGGUGUUGAGAAUGAAGCCCAACGCAAUUGUAAACUGUGAACCGUGUCAGGCCCGGAAGGGAGCAGCACUAAGCGGAUCUUACAAUGUGCCGUUGGUCUACUUUGUUUGAGCUAACUGUUUGUUUUUUUGUUAACCAGGUAUCGACUGCAGGUGCACAC